CGUUGGUAAAGUUUGUCGUCUCGCUACUCCCUCCGCCCCCCCUUCUCGGCCCCAGCCAUGAGCAUUGGCAACCAUUCCGGAUAUUCAAUAUAAGCCGAAAAUAUAAAAACUGAAACGAUAUCAAAACUGAAAAAAUGUUUUAAAAAAAAAAUACCAGAAAGGAUUACAAAUUGAAUAGGGAUUUCCGUGAUAGAUAAAUCUGUUGUAGGAAAUUAAUCCUGCGAGAAAGUAUAAAAGAAGUCUAUAUAAGAUGCCCAUCUGAUUUCCCUUAUCAAUAGACUUGGACGCAAAUUAUUAUUAUAUGUUAACUGGUCUAAUUUAAGAUAAGUUGCACCUGAUAAGAUGCGUUCAGCAUAAAGCUCUGCUCUAUUUUAUUGGAUCGAACAUGGAAUGUCUAGGAAUGUGUUUCUGGCUGAGAUACAUCCGCAGUCGAGCUACGACUGUGGGGGCUGUGUUGACAACGAGCUGACAACACUUCAAUGGAGCAUUCCACAAAACGCUUUGUUCAAUCGCCCCACUGUCUAAACAAGCAAUAAAAUUUCCGACAACCUCUAUAAAAACACUCGACGCCAAAUGCUUGGCACUAAUUGUCUCUCAAACGAACGAAAAAUUCCAAAAAUAUGCGCCGCAGCUUCUCCUGCUACGUCGAUGGACGCCAGCGCUAGGGUGGGUGACUCUGUCAACGAGGGAGACGAGUCUAUAAAAUUAGGAAUCGCUGUUGGAAAAGCUAUAACAUCGCGGCCAUCAAUAAGUUAUUUUAAUUCUCAUUUAUUUAUUUUGACAUCAAGCCCGGCAGGCAAUUAAAUGUCAACACGCACAGUUUCUGUCUAUACGAUAUUAUGCGGUAGCUCGAAAUCGGAAUACAGAAUUUCGAAUUCAGAGCUGGCCCUCUGAUAUAUCGAGGCAAAUUCGGGAUCAGCGAGGGACCGAAACGGAGUCGCUUGGGAUCGUAUGGGAUCGCAUGGGAUCGCAUCACUUAAGGCAAACAAACAAAAACCUAAUGCACGGGUCGUAAAUGAGUCGCCGCGAGCCUGAGGCGAGAAUUGAUUAAUUUGUUAGUUGUUCUUUGGAACAGCUGAUGGGAAGUGUCAGAUGUGGGGCCGGGGGUAGGCAGCUACUGAGCUAUUUUCUUUCUUGGCUGUUCUGCUCUGCUUUGCCAGCUGUUGCGAGAACUCUUCGCAUUACGGUUUGUUUUCUCAACGAUUUCCGCUGUUCCAUUUUUUCAUAUUUUGUCUACGCCGUGUUUGAAUUAUCAAAUAGCUACCUGAAGUAAAAAAAACAUUAAU
Drosophila virilis is the source of this 1286-nucleotide non-coding RNA. The record is from RefSeq and is a predicted model, not a curated record. NCBI's taxonomy places the organism in Eukaryota, Metazoa, Arthropoda, Insecta, Diptera, Drosophilidae.